Molecule: ribosomal RNA, 386 nt
Filed under: Escherichia coli
Lineage: Bacteria; Pseudomonadati; Pseudomonadota; Gammaproteobacteria; Enterobacterales; Enterobacteriaceae
Also listed under: 1 other name
Description: partial 23S ribosomal RNA
Rfam family: Bacterial large subunit ribosomal RNA
Source: RNAcentral
UGUCUGGUGGGUAGUUUGACUGGGGCGGUCUCCUCCUAAAGAGUAACGGAGGAGCACGAAGGUUGGCUAAUCCUGGUCGGACAUCAGGAGGUUAGUGCAAUGGCAUAAGCCAGCUUGACUGCGAGCGUGACGGCGCGAGCAGGUGCGAAAGCAGGUCAUAGUGAUCCGGUGGUUCUGAAUGGAAGGGCCAUCGCUCAACGGAUAAAAGGUACUCCGGGGAUAACAGGCUGAUACCGCCCAAGAGUUCAUAUCGACGGCGGUGUUUGGCACCUCGAUGUCGGCUCAUCACAUCCUGGGGCUGAAGUAGGUCCCAAGGGUAUGGCUGUUCGCCAUUUAAAGUGGUACGCGAGCUGGGUUUAGAACGUCGUGAGACAGUUCGGUCCCUA